AGGCUAAUUUGUGAAACUCAUUUG
RNAcentral lists this non-coding RNA (24 nucleotides) under Arabidopsis thaliana (thale cress). Lineage: Eukaryota; Viridiplantae; Streptophyta; Magnoliopsida; Brassicales; Brassicaceae. The record is from RNAcentral.